UACGAAGGGGGCUAGCGUUGUUCGGAAUCACUGGGCGUAAAGCGCACGUAGGCGGAUGUGCCAGUCAGGGGUGAAAUCCCGGAGCUCGACUUCGGAACUGCCUCUGAUACAGCACGUCUUGAGUCCGGAAGAGGUGGGUGGAAUUCCUAGUGUAGAGGUGAAAUUCGUAGAUAUUAGGAAGAACACCGGUGGCGAAGGCGGCCCACUGGUCCGGUACUGACGCUGAGGUGCGAAAGCGUGGGGAGCAAACAGG
RNAcentral lists this ribosomal RNA (253 nucleotides) under uncultured bacterium. RNAcentral describes it as "partial 16S ribosomal RNA". It matches the Rfam family "Bacterial small subunit ribosomal RNA", at positions 524 to 776 of the family's 1533-position model. The record is from RNAcentral.